UAUUUAUAUCUAGACUAAACUAAUAUGACCUUUCUAUUUUUUUAUUCUAUUGCCACCAAACUCUGAUGGUGCUGCUGGGAGGUGGGUCGGGCACUCUAAUGGAUGCAGGCUGCCCACCAUGGCCGACGAAUCUGCAUAGAAAGUUCUCUCAUCAGAGUGUGUUGGAUAGGGGAUGCUCUAAUGCCCAGGUCAAUCGGAAUUUAGAAAAUAGAUGAAAGAGGAAAGUGGCAGUUAAGAGCAA
RNAcentral lists this long non-coding RNA (241 nucleotides) under Elaeis guineensis (African oil palm). RNAcentral describes it as "long non-coding RNA (EGUI_LNC074624)". The record is from RNAcentral. Lineage: Eukaryota; Viridiplantae; Streptophyta; Magnoliopsida; Arecales; Arecaceae.